GACGGAGGGUGCAAGCGUUAUCCGGAAUGAUUGGGCGUAAAGCGUCUGCAGGUGGCAGUUCAAGUCUGCUGUCAAAGACCGGGGCUUAACUUCGGAAAGGCAGUGGAAACUGAACAGCUAGAGUAUGGUAGGGGCAGAGGGAAUUCCUGGUGUAGCGGUGAAAUGCGUAGAGAUCAGGAAGAACACCGGUGGCGAAGGCGCUCUGCUGGGCCAUAACUGACACUGAUGGACGAAAGCUAGGGGAGCGAAAGGG
RNAcentral lists this ribosomal RNA (253 nucleotides) under uncultured bacterium. Its description in RNAcentral is "partial 16S ribosomal RNA". It matches the Rfam family "Bacterial small subunit ribosomal RNA", at positions 524 to 776 of the family's 1533-position model. The record is from RNAcentral.